RNAcentral lists this ribosomal RNA (483 nucleotides) under uncultured bacterium. RNAcentral's name for it is "bacterial SSU rRNA". It matches the Rfam family "Bacterial small subunit ribosomal RNA", at positions 30 to 504 of the family's 1533-position model. The record is from RNAcentral.
UGAACGCUAGCGGCAGGCUUAACACAUGCAAGUCGAGGGGUAGCAGGAUUUAGUUUACUAGAUUGCUGACGACCGGCGCACGGGUGAGUAACGCGUAUACAAUUUACCUUUUACAGGAGGAUAGCCCAGAGAAAUUUGGAUUAAUACUCCAUGGCAUUACGAGAUCGCAUGGUUUUGUAAUUAAAGCUUCGGUGGUAGAAGAUGAGUAUGCGUCCUAUUAGCUAGAUGGUGAGGUAACGGCUCACCAUGGCAACGAUAGGUAGGGGUCCUGAGAGGGAGAUCCCCCACACUGGUACUGAGACACGGACCAGACUCCUACGGGAGGCAGCAGUGAGGAAUAUUGGGCAAUGGAGGCAACUCUGACCCAGCCAUGCCGCGUGCAGGAAGACUGCCCUAUGGGUUGUAAACUGCUUUUAUACAGGAAGAAACUUAUCCACGUGUGGAUAACUGACGGUACUGUACGAAUAAGGACCGGCUAACUCC